RNAcentral lists this long non-coding RNA (969 nucleotides) under Linum usitatissimum (flax). RNAcentral's name for it is "long non-coding RNA (LUSI_LNC008328)". Lineage: Eukaryota; Viridiplantae; Streptophyta; Magnoliopsida; Malpighiales; Linaceae. The record is from RNAcentral.
CAUCUCGAUUAGUUUAUACCAUUUGUAAUUGGUAACGAAAAGGAUUGUUGAUGCUCUGCUUGUACACAAGAAGUAGAAUCCGGCUUAAUCUUUUGAUAGGAUUAUGCUUGGUACUGCUUUUGGAUGAUCAUAGGCCCUCAGAUAAUGAUUGUGUCAGUGCAUGAUGACCCGAAGUCUUAGUGUGGCUGACAAAGGGGCUUACAAGAAUGAACUGUUGAACUAGCUCGCGCGGAAAAGAUAUAUCUGUUAGUAACGAAGAAAGUGCUAAUCUCGCAGUCAACUGUUAAGAAGCGGCGGAGAGAGGUGUAAAUCAUGAAUCAGCAAGCCUUCCAACAAAGGAUUUCGUCGUGGAGAUUUGGCGAUACAUAAAAUAAAGACUUUCCAACCCGACCAUUCAAGGAAAUAGACAAGAUUGAAGCUCCUUGCUUAGGUUCGGUUAUCAUUAAAUGUUUAGGGCCACUUUGGGUAUUGAAGUGAAGAUCUCAAUAGACUAUGCUAAACCCACCCUCCAGCCCUUCCUCGGUCAGUUUGCUAAGAAGAGCUCUAGUGGAAUAGCUCAAUGACAUGGUCAAUCGCUCCGCUUCAGUUAGUUAUUCAUUAUUCAUUAGGAAAGUUCUUUGGGCGAAGGCCCGACCUUGUGAUCAAUAUUUCGUACGUAGACUUUGAAUAUCUAUAUCCAAAGAAAGAGUUGCCAGCGAGGCCUUAGGAGCAUUUAUCCCGGUCCAUUCCUGUGAUUGUGGUAUAGUUCCAGCAUACCGUGAGUGACCUUCGCCAAGGAUGACGCAAGCUGCGAUUGAUUUCCUUGUUGGCGUAUAGAGAGAGUCAAAGAAAGAAGCCCCGCUUUAUUAACGGCCUGUUUAUUAGCUUACUUGCUAAAGGACGUAGCAGUUUGCUCAAGGAUGUAGCAGAACCUAUCCAAAGACAGGAAGCCACUGUGGAUCCUCAGAGCCCGUAGAGCAAAGAACCAAG